AUGCCCAAUGCCACCGGAACGCUCUGCCCACUCGGUGGCCCCACCCAUCGCCGCCCCGCCCCCGCUUCAACCACCAAUGGUCGCCGCCCGCUGCUCCCGAGGGGCUCGUUGAUUGGACAGUGGAGCCUGCCACUCUCGCGGGGCCUCCCGCCCUCCCUCACUCCCCGCUGGGGCUGGAGGGGCUGGAGCAUCAGCGCGAGUAGCUCGGAGCAGCCGCGGCAGCGGCGGCGCGUCGUUGCAGUUGCGCCAUCUGUCAGGAGCGGAGCCGGCGGGGAGGGGGCUGCCGCGGGAGAGGAGGAGGGGUCGCCGCGAGCCGAAGGCCGCCGAGACCCGCCCGCCAACCGGCCGAGGGAGCAGAAGAGAGGCUGCCCUCGGAGCCGCGCGUCCAUCACCGCCCGGGCGCGCGGCGCUUCACCCCGCGCACCGAGGGCUCCCCAGGCGCACACAAAGCCGCCGCCCGCGCCUGGGAGGGAUCCAGUCGCCGGGCCGGGGACACCCGGCGCCGCCCCCUGGGCACUCUCAGAAGGCCCACCGGCUCCCGGGCCCGCCGAGCAACCACCGGAGCCGCUUCGGCCGCGCCGGAGGAGGCGGGGAGUGGACCAUGUGAAUGGGCUCCGGAGCCUGAGCGCAGCGCAGGACCAGUCCAGCAGCUGUAUUAGAAGACAUGUGGUAUAUAUAAAGUUUGUGAUCGUUGGGGGAAAUUUUGGGAGGCCAUUGUGA
This 720-nucleotide long non-coding RNA is filed under the name Capra hircus (goat). RNAcentral's name for it is "lncRNA (ENSCHIG00010018178.1)". The record is from RNAcentral. Lineage: Eukaryota; Metazoa; Chordata; Mammalia; Artiodactyla; Bovidae.